GGGGUUGUGUCUCAGUGGUAGAGAGCUUGCCUAGUAAGAGUGAGGCACUGGGUUUGAUCCUCAGCACCACA
This 71-nucleotide transfer RNA is filed under the name Marmota monax (woodchuck). Its description in RNAcentral is "tRNA.Thr". Lineage: Eukaryota; Metazoa; Chordata; Mammalia; Rodentia; Sciuridae. The record is from RNAcentral.